Molecule: ribosomal RNA, 380 nt
Filed under: uncultured eukaryote
Lineage: Eukaryota
Description: partial 18S ribosomal RNA
Rfam family: Eukaryotic small subunit ribosomal RNA
Source: RNAcentral
CAAUAGCGUAUAUUAAAGUUGUUGCGGUUAAAAAGCUCGUAGUUGGAUUUCUGCCGAGGACGACCGGUCCGCCCUCUGGGUGUGUAUCUGGUUUGGCCUGGGCAUCUUCUUGGAGAACGUAGCUGCACUUGACUGUGUGGUGCGGUGUCCAGGACUUUUACUUUGAGGAAAUUAGAGUGUUUCAAGCAGGCACACGCCUUGAAUACAUUAGCAUGGAAUAAUAAGAUAGGACCUCGGUUCUAUUUUGUUGGUUUCUAGAGCUGAGGUAAUGAUUAAUAGGGAUAGUUGGGGGCAUUCGUAUUUAACUGUCAGAGGUGAAAUUCCUGGAUUUGUUAAAGACGGACUACUGCGAAAGCAUUUGCCAAGGAUGUUUUCAUUGA